AAUUCAUACAUGCAGUUUUGUAAAUAUGGCUACGUUUAAUUUUACCACUGCUUUUCAUAUAUUAUGCAAACUUAUGUUAGGUAUAUAGUAAGAGGUAAUUUCAUUGUAUCAUGUGUAACACGAUUUCUAAACUGACCAUUUGAGGCUUUAAUUGUGAAUUUGUAUAGAUAAAUAGGCAUACAGUUAAAUGUGGACUGCAGUCAGAGACAUGAUUGAGUACUUUAUUAAUCUUGAAUAUUCAAUUAAGAUUAAUGUUGUCAUGAUAUCCUACUAAACUUUACAUUCAUAGUUAAACUGUUAAGAUACAUUUGUAACCGUGUACAAUUUAGUUUCUCACCUGAUUUUGUUACAUUUGUUAAGAUUUCUAGAAGACGACAUACGCAUUAUUUUAUGCUGAAUGAUUAAGUUUUUUCUACUAUGUGACGUUGUGUUUGCAUAGUACAAUACAUUAGGUAUAUCAGGUGUUUUUGGCAACUUGCAUCUAAAUUGCAGGGGAAAAAAUCAGGGACAGAUUGAUGUGUUUGACUUUUUAUUAUAAUUACGACUUUUGACAAAUGCAUACCAUAGCUUUAGGUUUUAUCUGUAUAAAAGCAUUUAAAAAGCCUUGACAGUUUAAAUUACGCUACGUGUAUACCGAUGAUAUAAAUUUAAGCAAAUGGUUAUUUUUUUUUAAUUAAUAUAAUAUAAAAUACAGAGAGUUUAAAUUUUUACUGACCAGUAUCUGGCGACAAUAGUAUGCGAUUGACAUACGACUAAGAAAUCACCUUCAUCGUUUGCAUUCGACACUGACUCUAACUUGUUGUGUAAAUAUUUAUGUAUAUUUUUUUCUGCAUUUGUAUUGUUAGACAUAACUGCAAUGGUAACUUCUUCAUUAUAGAAUAUUAUAAGAGCUA
RNAcentral lists this long non-coding RNA (893 nucleotides) under Mytilus galloprovincialis (Mediterranean mussel). Lineage: Eukaryota; Metazoa; Mollusca; Bivalvia; Mytilida; Mytilidae. The record is from RNAcentral.